GACGAACGCUGGCGGCGUGCUUAACACAUGCAAGUCGAGCGGUAAGGCCCUUUCGGGGGUACACGAGCGGCGAACGGGUGAGUAACACGUGGGUGACCUGCCCUCAGCUCUGGGAUAAGCCUGGGAAACUGGGUCUAAUACUGGAUAUGACUCCACGGUGCAUGUCGUGGGGUGGAAAGCCUUGUGCGGCUGAGGAUGGGCCCGCGGCCUAUCAGCUUGUUGGUGGGGUGANGGCCUACCAAGGCGACGACGGGUAGCCGGCCUGAGAGGGCGACCGGCCACACUGGGACUGAGACACGGCCCAGACUCCUACGGGAGGGCAGCAGUGGGGAAUCUUGCGCAAUGGGCGAAAGCCUGACGCAGCGACGCCGCGUGAGGGAUGACGGCCUCGGUU
RNAcentral lists this ribosomal RNA (394 nucleotides) under uncultured bacterium. RNAcentral's name for it is "bacterial SSU rRNA". It matches the Rfam family "Bacterial small subunit ribosomal RNA", at positions 28 to 424 of the family's 1533-position model. The record is from RNAcentral.